UGUUACCGAAAUAUCAGGUCUGCCUAGAUGAGAGCCAAUUAACAGCCUGAAAGGGAUAAGGAAAAAUGCUUUAUUCUGCAGAAAAAGGAGAGCCUGUACCUGGGUACAAAAGACUCUGUCUUACACAAACUUCACAAACCUUUCAUACACAUUCAGACAAAAACCCUUGUGUGUUAAUACUUGAUUGGCUAUGGAAUAAUG
Molecule: non-coding RNA, 201 nt
Organism: Chelonoidis abingdonii (Abingdon island giant tortoise)
Lineage: Eukaryota; Metazoa; Chordata; Testudines; Testudinidae
Source: RefSeq, a predicted model, not a curated record